RNAcentral lists this transfer RNA (66 nucleotides) under Dipodomys ordii (Ord's kangaroo rat). It matches the Rfam family "tRNA". Rfam says of the family: Transfer RNA (tRNA) molecules are approximately 80 nucleotides in length. Their secondary structure includes four short double-helical elements and three loops (D, anti-codon, and T loops). The record is from Rfam by way of RNAcentral. Lineage: Eukaryota; Metazoa; Chordata; Mammalia; Rodentia; Heteromyidae.
GGUGGCUCAAUGGUAGAGCGCUUGCCUUGCAUGCAUGAGGCCCCUGGGUUCAAUUCCUCAGCACCA